RNAcentral lists this ribosomal RNA (250 nucleotides) under uncultured bacterium. Its description in RNAcentral is "partial 16S ribosomal RNA". It matches the Rfam family "Bacterial small subunit ribosomal RNA", at positions 524 to 773 of the family's 1533-position model. The record is from RNAcentral.
UACAGAGGGUGCGAGCGUUAAUCGGAAUUACUGGGCGUAAAGCGCACGUAGGUGGCUUUGUAAGUCGGAUGUGAAAUCCCUGGGCUCAACCUGGGAACUGCACUCGAGACUGCAUCGCUGGAGUACGGAAGAGGAAGGCGGAAUUCCCGGUGUAGCGGUGAAAUGCGUAGAUAUCGGGAGGAACAUCAGUGGCGAAGGCGGCCUUCUGGUCCAGUACUGACACUCAAGUGCGAAAGCGUGGGGAGCAAAC